AUAAAUGAAGGGAUAUCUCAAUCUGCCAAUUGAAUUUAGGGGCCAUAAUCAGUGUUUGAAAAUACCCAGGGAUUAUGGUGAUUUACGGCUGGGACGGAAUCCGCUGGGGCCUUAGCCUUAUCGGGUGUGCAGAGAGGAGCCUGUCAGGAACUCCAAAUGCAACUGAAAACACUGCGUGCAAACCCAUUUAUAGUCACAGGGGGGAUGGGGCUGGACCAGGUCAGGCCACCUGGGCUCUGGCCCAGGAUGGGCCCUUCAGAUUAUUCUCCAAGCCCUCCUCAGCCCCUGAGGGUGGGAAGCCCGUCUGUCGUGUUCCACUUCAUUCCCAUGUGCCAGGGCCCUCCUGGAACUUGUAGGCCCAGCCCAAGUCUUCUCUUCCAAGAAGCCCUCCUGGCCUCCAUCCUCCCCCACUGACCUCAGCCUCCUCUGACUUCCUGCCUCCUUUUAUGUUUAAACCAGCUGGAGGGUAAUGGGAAAGGUGUUGCUUUUGGCAUCAGAACACCCAGUUCAAGUCCCAGCUCUGCCACAUCCCUACAUGGGCAAGCCAGGCCUUGCGUGGGCCUCAGUUAUCUCCCUGCCAAAUGGGGAUAAAAAACACUCCCUGUGGGGCCUGCUUCAGAGGGGUUAAAUGAGAUAACUGGAUAGAAACCAUCUCGGCAGAUGGAAGGCAUCCCAUGACCACAGCGGUUAGUGAUUUACUGGCUUCUCUUGGGUUGUGCCCUGAGCGCUUGCAUCGUCUGGAGUGUUUGCUUCAUCUCCCUAACUUCCCAAUGAGCCUGGGUU
This 783-nucleotide long non-coding RNA is filed under the name Homo sapiens (human). RNAcentral describes it as "non-protein coding lnc-SH3PXD2A-1:1". The record is from RNAcentral. Lineage: Eukaryota; Metazoa; Chordata; Mammalia; Primates; Hominidae.